GACAGAGGGGGCAAGCGUUGCUCGGAAUUACUGGGCGUAAAGGGCGCGUAGGCGGGAUGGCAAGUCGGUCGUGAAAUCCCUCGGCUCAACUGAGGAUCGUCGAUCGAUACUGCCGUUCUUGAGGAUUGCAGAGGAGACUGGAAUUCCCGGUGUAGCGGUGAAAUGUGUAGAGAUCGGGAGGAACACCGGUGGCGAAGGCGGCAUCCUGGACCGGCAUUGACGCUGAACAGCGAAAGCUAGGGGAGCAAACGGG
Molecule: ribosomal RNA, 253 nt
Filed under: uncultured bacterium
Lineage: Bacteria
Description: partial 16S ribosomal RNA
Rfam family: Bacterial small subunit ribosomal RNA
Source: RNAcentral